AUUCAUCAUAAAUAAACAGUUUUAGUUCAUCAAACAGAAACAGAAUAAUGACCGCUUUUGUCGAAAAGGUCUCCAAUUUUUAUUUUUAUUUUAAUUGUACAGUCUGAUCCCAAUCUCAAUAUUCUGGAAAAGGGUUCAGAAAUGCAUGCCCAUAAACCAGAAUACAAAGGCAAAACCAAGUGUGAACUUGUAAUUGCUAAGACAGGACCCAGUCUUUCCUGGGGAAUGCUUGGGAAUCCUAUAUUUAGCUCUAGAGAUGCAUCCAACACCCACAGAAAGCAGUAAAAGAUGUAA
Populus euphratica (Euphrates poplar) is the source of this 294-nucleotide long non-coding RNA. RefSeq lists it as uncharacterized. The transcript has 2 exons. NCBI's taxonomy places the organism in Eukaryota, Viridiplantae, Streptophyta, Magnoliopsida, Malpighiales, Salicaceae. The record is from RefSeq and is a predicted model, not a curated record.